RNAcentral lists this long non-coding RNA (1875 nucleotides) under Sparus aurata (gilthead seabream). RNAcentral's name for it is "lncRNA (ENSSAUG00010012358.1)". The record is from RNAcentral. Lineage: Eukaryota; Metazoa; Chordata; Actinopteri; Spariformes; Sparidae.
AUGCCCAUCCAGCACACACUGGACAUUACUCCCUUGCCCUUUACAGCUCCAGAGUUCCAGGCUAUGCCAAAAGCCCGUUGCGUGUCAUGCCAGGAGUAUGUUCCCCUGCAGCUCCUAAGCCUCCACGUUAAAACAUGUGCCAAGACUAAAGGCAAUGACGGGAACAAAUCUGAUAAUGACAUCAUUGACUUGGAUCAUAUGGUCUUCGACGCUGAGAAUGUGGUGUCCACUGAUGUGCAGUCGUCAUCAUGGUUGGCGCAUAAGCAACUGUCACCAGGUAAAGUCUGGAUAUCUGAAGAGUCUGUUGAUGCUGGUCAGUGGGGCCGAACCGACCCUCUCCGUCCCCUGCUUGCAUCCUCCCAUCCUGCCGACAGCGCAUGUUCUCAUCUCCGCCGCUGGCAUUAUGUGCCCACCUGCGACUGUCCCGCCGAAAAAGGGUCUCUCAUCCGGCAUUACGUGCCCGCCAGAGAGUCUACAAAAGGCGCAUCUCUCUCCUCCCUCCAUGUUGUCUGUGCCGCUGCGUGGUUUUACACAGACACAAAUGAACAGCAAACCGAUACCUUUGAUGACACCGAUGAACAACAUGAUUACAACAGUUGGUGGUUGCCUAGCAACGGUAAAGCGUCAGCUCUUUCCCUUCUAUGUUUGUCCGCUGUGUGUAUGGGGCAGGAGCUGUGCUUGGUGUCUCCGUCAGUAACCAUCAGCUGUUUCUCUGUUGUCAGAAUAAAUUCCGUGAACCUGACUAUAGCCUGUGUGUUGUCUCUACUGAUCCGAACCGAACAAGAGGGUUACAGUUACAUGGGCCCAAUUAAUGUUGACCAGAAAAAGGCCAUCACAGAUGCUGUUACUUUGCAUGGACUGUUGAGGCUCAUCCCAAUCCUGAACCAGCUACGUGAGGAGUUGAGGCUGUAUGGAGUAGAUGAGGUUUUGGGCCACCAUGACCAGAUGUGCAAGCAACUAUUUGUUCCUGGCUUCAUACAGGAGAGGCGCUAGGAGAGGCUGGGUGGGGUUAUCGACGACCGGAGCCGCCGUCACAGACGCACCUGCAGCAGGUUGGCAAUCAGCGGCUGCUGACUAAAGCCUAGGUCUUCACGCUGCCUGCUGCCAGAUGAUUACUUCGACUAGAUGUGGUACACGGCUCACACAGACUGUAGCUACUACGGCUUCUACUGUGUUCCCCGGUCUCUUGCUGAGAUUAAUUACUGUUGUGUCCUUUCCCUAGUGACCCACGACCCGGCUACCUGCACCACCUGCUCCAGCCUCCCAGCUCCUCGCACCUGACCCGGCUCUCCCUCGCCCUGCGCCGUCUGGCGCACCCGGCGCAACCCCGGCAUCCCUGGGAAAAACCCCUGCACAGACCAUCCGCACUCCACCAGACAGGGACUCCGUCGGGAGCGCUCAGCGUUCGUUUAUUCAGUGUUCAAUAAAUCACCAAGUUUCUACCUCUGAUCUGCCUCCGUGUCCGCUCUUGGGUCCCUGUCCACCCGGCUCAACACUGAUUCUUCAAUCACCAAAAUUCUGCGGUGGUUAUUUCUGGACAGAUGACCGAUGCAAAUAUUAAUCACUGCUGCUCCAUUGCUAGGGAAGCUAUAGCAUAGCAACCACAGCCAAAGACUGGGGAACAAUCAGUUCACAUUAACAUCAUUAAAGUCUGUGUAAAGCAGCAAUACAUUUGUGUUAUGAGUUUGUCACACCACAGAAACGUGUCAUUGACCACUGAGCCAAAUGUGAAAGAUUUAAAAAAUUGCUAAGUAUAUAAAAUUAGGUCUCAAAAUCAUGAAAAACAAGCACUUCUUUCUGCUGUGAGACAGUGGGGGCAUGUCAGAGGCGCUGGAACCACACCCACGCGCGGGAGGGGAGCCUCCUCCAUGUACU